CUAUUCAAAAUCGUCUGAACGGGACUCCGUGGAGACUCGACUUUGUUGAAAAUUUUGCCAACUACCCCAGUUCAGUCGAAUAAAUAGGAAGAAGUUGAGGAAGGGCUUGAGUUGAAGACGAACUGACGAAGAGAAGAUCGUAGGCUGUGUGUUUGUGAGGGAAAUCUGAUUUCAGGGUUUGAUUGUUUCAUUUUUUCUGUUUUUUUCAUUUAGUUAUUACUUAUUUUCUAUUUGGGCGGCUGAUUAUGAGGGUUUUCCACAUAUUAGCCUAUUUGAAUAGGCCCAAUUACACUAAUAAGCUAGACGUACUAUUUUUUUCAUGAAUAAUCUAAUGGGAUGGGAUAUUUCAAAAAAGAGAAAAAAAAAAAGGGCCAAAUGUCACAUAUGACCCUUGCAUGAAAGGCAAAUAUUCAAGCAAUAUUUCAGCAAAUUUCACCAACGCGCCUAAUUCUUUUCCUAUAUGGCAAACAUUCAGCAAAAGCUUCAGAAUCCCUUCCAUUUGUGCACCAUUUAGAAGAGGAACACAGUGUCGUCGACUAAUUGAGGGUUUCUGAAGCUUAGUUUCGCCGGAAAACACCAUUCUUCCCGCCGAUAAUCUUAAGAAAUCGAAAGAAAGACAUCAUGGCCCGUGUCAAGCUUCCUGGGCACUGUAUUGAUAGCGGCAGAAGUCAACGAUUAUUGGGAACUUCAAGUAGAGUAAUAUCCUCAAAUGAGGGAGCAACUAUAAUAAUUGAAUUUAGAGAGGAGUAAUUUAAGAUGUCAAAAUCUUUGAAAAUUCGUGAAGUUGAUAGGUUUCCUGGGCAAGUAACGUGUCUGGCCCACGUUGCCAAUGCCAACAAGAUUGUAAAGCAGAAGCUUAUCGGAAGGCAGUUAGAGAUGUACAAGAAAACAGUUUUUGCUUUCUUUGUAGACACUAAACUUGUAUUCAACAACCUAUUAAUCCACCAUAUG
Molecule: long non-coding RNA, 951 nt
Organism: Benincasa hispida (wax gourd)
Lineage: Eukaryota; Viridiplantae; Streptophyta; Magnoliopsida; Cucurbitales; Cucurbitaceae
Source: RefSeq, a predicted model, not a curated record